ACCUGCAGAACUGUGAGCACAUCUGAGGAGAACACGAUGUUCUUUUCAGACUCAAACACAUCUAAAGAGAACUCCUGGGAAGCCGUAAGCACACAUCAUCUGAGCGUCCUGAGGCAGCUGGAACAUCUCCCAUGAGCUGCCCUGCCAAACCCUCCUCCCAAGCCUGCACAGAACCUGAGACAGGAAGAGAGUGAGAAGCAUCAGGAUUGGCAGAUUGGGGAUUGUGGAAGAAAAACAUGGGGUUAUGGAAAACAUGGAAGGCAUGGAAGAGUGUUGAUAAGAAAAAAAUCAUCUGACAGUUGGAAAUAUUGCAGAAUCGAAAGACAUCUGUUGAGUGUAGCAAGAGUGUCUGCAAAACUGCG
Molecule: long non-coding RNA, 362 nt
Filed under: Homo sapiens (human)
Lineage: Eukaryota; Metazoa; Chordata; Mammalia; Primates; Hominidae
Description: HSALNT0000977
Source: RNAcentral